RNAcentral lists this ribosomal RNA (759 nucleotides) under Salmonella enterica subsp. enterica serovar Hadar. Its description in RNAcentral is "bacterial LSU rRNA". It matches the Rfam family "Bacterial large subunit ribosomal RNA", at positions 2184 to 2925 of the family's 2925-position model. The record is from RNAcentral. Lineage: Bacteria; Pseudomonadati; Pseudomonadota; Gammaproteobacteria; Enterobacterales; Enterobacteriaceae.
AGCCGACCUUGAAAUACCACCCUUUAAUGUUUGAUGUUCUAACGUGGACCCGUUACCCGGGUUGCGGACAGUGUCUGGUGGGUAGUUUGACUGGGGCGGUCUCCUCCUAAAGAGUAACGGAGGAGCACGAAGGUUGGCUAAUCCUGGUCGGACAUCAGGAGGUUAGUGCAAUGGCAUAAGCCAGCUUGACUGCGAGCGUGACGGCGCGAGCAGGUGCGAAAGCAGGUCAUAGUGAUCCGGUGGUUCUGAAUGGAAGGGCCAUCGCUCAACGGAUAAAAGGUACUCCGGGGAUAACAGGCUGAUACCGCCCAAGAGUUCAUAUCGACGGCGGUGUUUGGCACCUCGAUGUCGGCUCAUCACAUCCUGGGGCUGAAGUAGGUCCCAAGGGUAUGGCUGUUCGCCAUUUAAAGUGGUACGCGAGCUGGGUUUAGAACGUCGUGAGACAGUUCGGUCCCUAUCUGCCGUGGGCGCUGGAGAACUGAGGGGGGCUGCUCCUAGUACGAGAGGACCGGAGUGGACGCAUCACUGGUGUUCGGGUUGUCAUGCCAAUGGCACUGCCCGGUAGCUAAAUGCGGAAGAGAUAAGUGCUGAAAGCAUCUAAGCACGAAACUUGCCCCGAGAUGAGUUCUCCCUGAGACUUAGAGUCUCCUGAAGGAACGUUGAAGACGACGACGUUGAUAGGCCGGGUGUGUAAGCGCAGCGAUGCGUUGAGCUAACCGGUACUAAUGAACCGUGAGGCUUAACCUUACAACGCCGAAG